This 391-nucleotide ribosomal RNA is filed under the name uncultured bacterium. RNAcentral's name for it is "bacterial SSU rRNA". It matches the Rfam family "Bacterial small subunit ribosomal RNA", at positions 30 to 423 of the family's 1533-position model. The record is from RNAcentral.
AUUGAACGCUGGCGGAAUGCUUUACACAUGCAAGUCGAACGGCAGCACGGGGCAACCUGGUGGCGAGUGGCGAACGGGUGAGUAAUACAUCGGAACGUGCCCAAUCGUGGGGGAUAACGUAGCGAAAGUUACGCUAAUACCGCAUACGAUCUACGGAUGAAAGCGGGGGAUCGCAAGACCUCGCGCGAAUGGAGUGGCCGAUGUCAGAUUAGGUAGUUGGUGGGGUAAAGGCUCACCAAGCCAACGAUCUGUAGCUGGUCUGAGAGGACGACCAGCCACACUGGAACUGAGACACGGUCCAGACUCCUACGGGAGGCAGCAGUGGGGAAUUUUGGACAAUGGGCGCAAGCCUGAUCCAGCCAUUCCGCGUGCAGGAUGAAGGCCUUCGGUU